GCCGAUGUAGCUCAGUUGGUAGAGCAACGCAUUCGUAAUGCGUAGGUCUGGGGUUCGAAUCCCCAUCUCGGCUCCA
Molecule: transfer RNA, 76 nt
Filed under: Chromatium okenii
Lineage: Bacteria; Pseudomonadati; Pseudomonadota; Gammaproteobacteria; Chromatiales; Chromatiaceae
Description: tRNA-Thr
Rfam family: tRNA
About the family: Transfer RNA (tRNA) molecules are approximately 80 nucleotides in length. Their secondary structure includes four short double-helical elements and three loops (D, anti-codon, and T loops). Further hydrogen bonds mediate the characteristic L-shaped molecular structure. tRNAs have two regions of fundamental functional importance: the anti-codon, which is responsible for specific mRNA codon recognition, and the 3' end, to which the tRNAs corresponding amino acid is attached (by aminoacyl-tRNA synthetases). tRNAs cope with the degeneracy of the genetic code in two manners: having more than one tRNA (with a specific anti-codon) for a particular amino acid; and 'wobble' base-pairing, i.e. permitting non-standard base-pairing at the 3rd anti-codon position.
Source: RNAcentral